UGCGAUCAAUGAUGAAUAAAAUCGUCCAUAUUUAAUGAUAAUCCCAUGAUUAUUAAUCUCUAGAUCACCAUCUUUCGGCUGAGAUUGCA
Brassica rapa (field mustard) is the source of this 89-nucleotide non-coding RNA. NCBI's taxonomy places the organism in Eukaryota, Viridiplantae, Streptophyta, Magnoliopsida, Brassicales, Brassicaceae. The record is from Rfam.